This 1149-nucleotide long non-coding RNA is filed under the name Gallus gallus (chicken). Lineage: Eukaryota; Metazoa; Chordata; Aves; Galliformes; Phasianidae. The record is from RNAcentral.
CAGACUCUGCGCUCUUCAGCAGGGGCUUGAUCUUGAAGAACAGCUUCAUCCAGGGCCAGUGCUUGACAUUCAUGAAUGAACGAACGUUGUACUGGAUGCAGAAGAUGGAUUCCCUGAAGCAUAAUUGAAACGUACAUUUGAUUAUUUUGUGUGAUAUGAUCCUCAGCAUUUCCCCCAAAAUACAGUGUCUUUAACUGAAGAUGGGGAACACCUACCUCCUCUCCACCAUUCUCUGGUACUCCACUCUCAUCAGGAAGCCUCUGCACCUGGCCUGUGUGCGAGUGAUGAGCUGUGCCAGCUUCUCAUCUCUCAUCUCCUCCAGGAGUCCCAGCAGCCCAGCUUUGAAGAACACCUUGGUGUGACCAAAUUUGUACUGGGUGUGGUCCACAUCAAUUGACCCAAGAAGCUUCUCAGAAGCUUUCUUGCUAUCAAUGAACUGUCCCUCAGGGAUGGCACUGGCAUUAAGCACCUUGUACCUGUGAGAAGCAAAAGAGGAAGUUAAGGCUGUUCUUCCCAAAUCUCGACAUUACUUACAGUCAUGCUAAAAGGCCGAGUACUCUUACCUCUGUUUAAAGUCUGCAUAGAGGACUCUGCUGGGGAAGCCUUUCCUGCAAAUCCUGAUCCCCUCCAGCACGCCGUUACAGCGCAGCUGGUGCAGCACCAGUUCAUGCUCCAUGGCACCUAACAAUUAAUUUUGCAAAUGAAUAUCACUGUUCCCACCAUCGAGGGAAGUCACUUCAGUAUCUCUGCUGGAGCAUCUUACCAGGUGUUUUUGUUUCAUUUGGGAUGAUGCAGCGGACAAAAUGAGGGUGAGUACUCCGUAGGUUGGUCAUCAGUUUGUUUAGGUUCUCCUGUGGGACCAGAAAUUGGUAUUUGUUUAAACAAAAGCUUUUAUUCUCACUCUUAGAUUCCUUCAACUCACCAUUAAAGGUUCACACACCUAAUAAUGGAUAUGUACUUGCCCGAAACUGUUGCAAAAUUAGUUUAAUUCUAAUUUGCAGAGAUAAAAACAAACAAACAAACAAAAAAGGCAAAGAAAGAUUUAAAAAAAAUAAUAAAAUUCUUACCCGAAAAAGAGCUGAGACAGUCUGGAAAGAAGACCCCUUCUUCUUACCACCCUUCUUGCCACCACCACCACUAGCCUCUGAU